AAAAGCAUCUUUUAUCCUGAAUAUAGUGUGUCCUUAAGAUUUCACAAUGGAGUUUUAAAUGUUGAAGAUGUACUUACCAGUUUUGACAACACAGGGAAUGUCUAUAACUGAACUUGAAGAAUAAAGCUGGGGGUCUCUGAAAGUUUGCCAAAUACACAAGAAAUGUGCAUGUGUGUCUUCCUCCCUGUCAAAGCUAUGGCAUAAAUCCAGUUCUGAGAUUGAAAGUUUCCUCUCAAACUCCAGUCUUUGUACUCCAGAGUUAAGUUUCAGUAAACAUUGGAAUUUUAUUACUAAGAAAAGGUCAAUUUGUUAAAGAAAUUUUUUCAAAAUAUAUUCUUGAGCUGUUUUCUAAUGGGAAUGUGUGUUGGAUUUGAUUAAUAUCUAAGGGCUAUAUAAGUAUUCAAGGGAAUGACAUUCUUUACUACUAAUAAUAAACAGCUUACUAAUGUUCUGCAUGUUUGUUUUCACUCCCACAUCAGAUAUUUAUGGAGAAGAAAAAAUGUUGUGAUGCAGAUUAUUAGAUUAUGAAAUAUGUGUAUUAAAUACUUGUAGAGAAAAUCUUUU
Molecule: long non-coding RNA, 564 nt
Organism: Nothoprocta perdicaria
Lineage: Eukaryota; Metazoa; Chordata; Aves; Tinamiformes; Tinamidae
Exons: 3
Source: RefSeq, a predicted model, not a curated record